RNAcentral lists this unclassified non-coding RNA (5233 nucleotides) under Daphnia pulicaria. Its description in RNAcentral is "uncharacterized LOC124315348, transcript variant X1". Lineage: Eukaryota; Metazoa; Arthropoda; Branchiopoda; Diplostraca; Daphniidae. The record is from RNAcentral.
AUUCUAUUAACGCGGACGCAGUUCGUUGAGAACCUUCCGGGUUCAUUGCCCAAAAAAUGUACCACAGUUUCCAUCCAAGUCGUCUCACCUUCAAAUUGCAUUAGAGGGUAUACUAUAAAGCUAUUUUUAAAUGGUUUCCGUCUUUCUUUAAAUAGCCGACGCUAUACGCCAAUAAAAUGCUUGAUCAAACCACCGAUCGAUCUACGAGUAAUUUUAUGAACAUCAGAACAUUCGUUGGCGUCAAAUCAAUAACACUGUUCAUUAUUAAAAAGACAAAAUUUUAUCUUUUCCAAUUCAACUGAUGCAUGUGUCAAUUUAUCUUCCAUUAAUCUUAAUAUACUCUUUAUUAAUCGAUAUUACUUUGAAUGACAAUUAACAGAUUGACAAUACCCAUAUAACACAGCAAAGGCAGCCAAACACUAUAGUCUUACCGCAAUGGCCAUCCGAGUAAGUUUGUCCUUAGAUGAGUCACAAGUUCAGCAAACUAAAUGCUGGGCUUGGAGUAUUUUUCCGUUGAUCAUUUGGACCAGAAUUCUAGGUGUAAACUUAUCAGAUAUAUCGAAUUCAUCCGCCAAACAUCAUCACUGGCUGAUUAUUGCUUAUGGCGGUUUCUGCCUCUUGUGUCAUUUGGCUGGCCAGAUUGAUAUUUUGUAUUACUUGCAAGGUAAACUGAAGAUGGGUUCUCUCGAGCGAAGCGGCGGAUUAAAUUAUGAAACAUCAACCGCUACCUGGAAUUCCAUUAUUGAUUUUAUCAAUUACGCCGUUCAUGGAAUUGGAACUCAUGUGCUAAUGUUGACUGUCAUCCGGAAGCGGUGGAUCAAUUUAAUGGAAACCUUUCGUAGCUCAGAGGAUAUGUUCUCUGAUGAAAGAUACAUUCGAAUUCGAAAAGUAGCUACCUACGGCGUUGCUUAUGUUAUUUUGUUGAUUUUAGGACUUAUCUCUGUUUCUUUGGGACACCACCUGGCUGCGGGGACUACAAGUGGACAUCGCAUUUUCAUAAGCUUCAUGUCCACCGUUUCAAUCAUUUAUCCUUUGACAGCUUUGGUUGUAUUCUCUAUCCACUGCUAUGUGUCGUCUCUCCUAUUCGAGUCAGUCCAGUCUGAAAUCCACCGUAAUGAAAUUCAGCUAAUGAACGGCCGAGAUCAGGAUGUCCGUCUUUUAAUUCUUGCCUUCAAACAGCGACACAUUCUGGCUUGUAAAACAGUUGACAGCAUCAACCAUUGUUUCGGAUGGAUUCUCCUGCUAUCAAUAACUUUUUUCUAUUUGGCCGUUAUUAACUCGAGCUUUUAUUUGUUUGGACUGGACAACAUUAUUUCCAUGCCAGACGUAGCUUUUACUACUUUUACUGUCAUUCAUCUAAUUUGUGUGUGCUUCACGGCGGAUCGCGUCCAGAUAAAGGCCGAAGACGCCAUCAAAGAACUCUUCCGUCUUCAGUCCUAUGAAACGUUGAACGGAUCUCAAAUGCAGCUGAUGAAUUUUCUUAUUUCGGAGAUGGCACUAACAGUUCCAAAAAUCAGCGCUAACGGUUGCUUUAAUGUCAGUAAGAAGCUUUUGCCCCAGGUGAUUGGGACAUCGCUGACUUAUUUCUUUAUUCUCUUCCAAUUUGAAGCGUCAGAAAAGAAUGUGACCCUGACUGAAAAUUAAGCCAAACACGCCUGAUAGUUUAAAUUGAACCAGAAAACUUUGUGUAUAGUCCUGGAGAAAUAGCAUAAGCCGGUUAAGUGAUUUCUAAAAGAACCCGGUGACAUUUGAACAAGAACUUCUAUUAUUAUAUUUGUCAACUUGACACAAGCAAACACUCACACGGCAUAAUACUGGGGAUACGCGGAGUAAUUUGAUGGAAACAUAAUAAACUGAUCCAUUAAAUUACUCAACACUUGUUGAAAAAGAAUUCAAUUUUUUUAAAGUGAAAAUAACAAAAGACCGCAAAAGACAUGGCAAAGUGACCCUUUAUGUAACAUCGUAUGAUGAUGAGCUUUUGUUAGUAAAACCGUUAUGUCUACCCGCACAAGUUCAUUUUCAGAAGAGAGGCCCGAACAUCAAAUUAUUGGCUGGGCAUGGAGUAUUCGUCCUUUAAUCAUUUGGGCACGUAUUCUAGGUGUGUAUCUCUCAGAUGUUUAUCCAUCAUCAGAUCCACAUCAACGACUGACAGUUGCCUAUGGAAUCUUUUGUUUUCUGCUGCACAUAUCCAGUGAAAUCAACAGCAUAUACUACUUGUAUAGUACACAGACUGUACACGUCUCGCUCGAACAAUCGUACGGGCUGCUAUUUGUCACGACGACUGCUGCCUGGAACUGGACUAUUGAUUUCAUCAAUUACGUCGCCCACGGAAUCGGAGUUCACGUCAUAUUGGUGACUGUUGUACAGGCACAAUGGAAGGAUCUAUUGAAUAUUUUACAGCGUUUGCUAGAGGAAUUUCCCGAUGCAAAUUAUAUUCGAAUACGCAGACUGUCUUUGUUUGGCGUAGCUUACGUCAUUUUAAUGAUUUCCGGACUUGUCGCUGCCUCAGUAACGGACUACCACUUGGCUGCAGGGUCUUCAUCUAUUCACAGCAUCUUUAUCACUAUUACUUCAACCUUAUCAAUCAUUUACCCCUUGACAACUAUCGUUCUAUUUGCUGUCCACUGCUACGCAUCGUCUGUUGCAUACGCAUUAAUUCGCACAAAAAUCAAGCGCUGUGCAAUUCAGCUAAGGAACGGUCGAGGUCGCGACGUCAGGAUUUUAUUGCUUACUUUGAAAAAUCGAUUCAUAUUGGCCUCUGACACUGUCGAUGGAAUCAACCGCACUUUUGGCUGGAUGCUGCUCCUGUCUACGAUCUUUUUCUUCGUGGCUAUCAUUAAUGCAAGCUACGUCGUUUUCUCUUUGGAUAAGCAGAUAACUGCAGGGGAUUUGGUGUUUUUAUUAUUUGCCCUAGUUCACUUGACUCUCAUCUGUUUCGUCGCAGAUCACAUUACCAAUAACGCAGAAGAAAUGAUCGGAGAUCUGUUGAGGUACAAAUGUGAUAAAAUCUCGAACAAGGAAUAUCAAAUAGAGAUGGAAUACCUUAUAUCGGACAUGUUGCAUGAAAUACCGCAAAUCAGCGCCAACGGUUGCUUCAACGUCAAUAAGAGACUAAUCCCGCAGGUGAUUGGAACAACAGCAACUUAUUUUUUUAUUCUUUGCCAGUUCGAAGAAUCCGAAAAGAAAGUGUGUCCUGUUUCUUGACUCAAUGCACUUGAUCAUUUUGACAGGAGGUCGUGAUUAUUCUUACGCAAGUUUCAACAAUAGUUGUCAUGCAGUAGUUAGUCUGUCCUAUUCUGUACGAAAAGAAUGUUACAUAAGGCCAUAAGGCAAAUGAAACUUUCGAUAAAACUGUCAAAUAAAAUGAACGCGCCCUUAUUACGCAUGUGAACUUCGCUUAUUGAAAUAACUAUAACAGCUAUACGAUAAUUAAAAAAGUUAUGGACAUGACCUAAUUACUUUUUCAUUCCUACUGAUGAACUGAUGACAGCUAUGGAAGUCAAUUACUCGAUUGCUUUUUUCAGUACGAGUCAACACAAAAAGCUAGCUGACUUAAAGUGCAAUUUGAUUGGUGUAAGCUUUUAAAAGUGUUAUUUAGUGGUAAUAUUAGUCGAACUGUGAUGGCCAUCCGAGUAAGUUGGUUUUCAGAAGAGAUACCAAUAAUCCAACAACCUGCAACUACGUGUUGGGCAUGGAGUAUUCGCCCUUUGAUUAUCUGGCUCCGCAUCAUUGGCGUGGAUCUUCCGGACACUUCAACUCCAUCCACCCAACGCAACCGAUGGCACAUUUCCGUUUACAGGGCCUUUUGCUUUUUGCUCCAUGCCUCUUGCCAGAUUAAUAUUCUACGCUAUCUAUUUAAUACGGGGUUACAAGUUUUUCUAUACCAAACCGACGACCUAGGCUUUGGCACAACAACCGCAAACUGGAACUGGAUUAUUGAUUUUACAAAUUACACUAUUCAUGGAGUUGGAAUUCACCUGGUGCUGCUCACUGUCAUCCGUUUCCAAUGGAUCGAUACGAUGGAAAUUUUUCAACGUUUGAACGCCAUUUUCACGGAAGAAAAUUACAUUGGAAUACGCAAAAUUUCCUAUUGCGGCGUCAUUUACGUUAUCGUGCUGGUAAGAACGAUAUGGGAAGUCAAUCAUUUCAUUUCAGCAAUACGAUUUUGUUCCAUACAGAUUUCUUUACUGCUUGCUGCUUCAACGGAUUACGCCUUGCCGUCCGGAACUUCAGUUUCUCACGGCGUCUUUAUCAAAAUGACGGCAGUCCUAUCAAUAACUUAUCCGUUGACAGCCAUAGUAAUAUUUGCUAUCCACUGCUACGCGUCGUCUCUGGCCUUCGAGGGGAUUCGGAAGGAAAUAAAGCGCUAUGAAAUUGAGCUAAUCAACGGUCGAAAUCAUGAUGUCAGCCUCUUGUUGAGUGUUUUCAAACAAAAACACAUCAUUGCUUGCGAUACGGUUGAUUCCAUCAAUCACACUUUUGGCUGGAUGCUGCUUUUCUCUAUGACUUUUUUCUUUGUGGUUGUUAUCAACGCAAGCUGCGCAGUGUUUGGCCUACCGGAUCACACGACCGUAGCGGAUAUUUCGUUUCUAGCAUUUGCUCUCGUUCAUCUGCCUCUCAUUUGUUUUGCUGCAGAUCACAUUUCCAGCAAGGCUGAAAACAUGAUCAAAGAACUGAUGAGGCUGAAAUGUGCUGAUGAGCCGUUAAAGGGAUACGAAUUGGAGGUGGAAUUUCUUAUAGCGGAUAUGGUGGAAACGAUUCCACAAAUCAGCGCCAAGGAUUACUUCAAAGUGAACAAAAGGCUUUUCCCUCAAGUGAUUGGAACGACUCUAACUUACUUUUUCAUUCUACACCAGUUUAAGGCUUCCGAAAAGAAACUUAAUCCUGAAGAUGAUUAAUCAUAUUAAAAGUAACAUAUUAAUCAUCUUACCUAAGUUAUCAUCGCAAUCAACGCAAUUAUUUUCGCUAGAAAAGCUAUUCAAGACACGAAUCUAUUCAUUCAAUUUCCUUGAUUUGUAUCACAUAAUUUUAUUUCUCCCACGGUAAUUCCAUUCUAUUUGUACUGGUGUCUUGAUGAACACACUUUUUUAAAUGUAUGGCUCCCGAAGUCCCGAUAUCGAAUUAAAAUUUGAUGGAUACUAAUGACUCUACAGAAUAUUGCGGAUCGAUAAACAAUUAUAUUUUGGCGAACCAACACUUCACCAAAAUAUUGAUUCAAUUACUCAACUUAAUC